GACUGACCUCGGAUCGGGGCGGGACAACCCGCUGAACUUAAGCAU
Molecule: ribosomal RNA, 45 nt
Filed under: Phyllachora sp.
Lineage: Eukaryota; Fungi; Ascomycota; Sordariomycetes; Phyllachorales; Phyllachoraceae
Description: partial 28S ribosomal RNA
Source: RNAcentral